Molecule: long non-coding RNA, 1824 nt
Filed under: Macaca mulatta (Rhesus monkey)
Lineage: Eukaryota; Metazoa; Chordata; Mammalia; Primates; Cercopithecidae
Description: lncRNA (ENSMMUG00000064848.1)
Source: RNAcentral
UGCCACAGGAUAUAUAGUGGUGUCCUCAUGCCACAGGGUAUAUAGUGGUGUCCUCAUGCCACAGGGUAUAUAGUGGUGUCCUCAUGCCACAGGGUAUAUAGUGGUGUCCUCAUGCCACAGGGUAUAUAGUGGUGUCCUCAUGCCACAGGGUAUAUAGUGGUGUCCUCAUGCCACAGGGUAUAUAGUGGUGUCCUCAUGCCACAGGAUAUAUAGUGGUGUCCUCAUGCCACAGGGUAUAUAGUGGUGUCCUCAUGCCACAGGAUAUAUAGUGGUGUCCUCAUACCACAGGGUAUAUAGUGGUGUCCUCAUACCACAGGAUAUAUAGUGGUGUCCUCAUACCACAGGGUAUAUAGUGGUGUCCUCAUGCCACAGGGUAUAUAGUGGUGUCCUCAUGCCACAGGGUAUAUAGUGGUGUCCUCAUGCCACAGGGUAUAUAGUGGUGUCCUCAUGCCACAGGAUAUAUAGUGGUGUCCUCAUGCCACAGGGUAUAUAGUGGUAUCCUCAUGCCACAGGGUAUAUAGUGGUGUCCUCAUGCCACAGGGUAUAUAGUGGUGUCCUCAUGCCACAGGGUAUAUAGUGGUGUCCUCAUGCCACAGGGAUAUAUAGUGGUGUCCUCAUGCCACAGGGUAUAUAGUGGUGUCCUCAUACCACAGGAUAUAUAGUGGUGUCCUCAUGCCACAGGAUAUAUAGUGGUGUUCUCAUACCACAGGGUACUCCCCUCAGAUGCAUUCCCCAAACUGGAACAAGUUAACUUCCCCAAACCUUAAACUGCUGGGCUUAACAUUGAGUUUCGUGGAAGAGAACCCAGAAGCCUGACAUGCAGGCAAAAGGGUAAAAGUUUUUACCAGUCAGACUUCUGGCCUCUCUCCCCCUGUGCAAACUGGUUGAAUGAAUGAUAAAAUCACUGUUUAUAUCCUCUAUAAAGUGUUCAUUAAUGGGAAAAAGAUGUGUGAGGCUAGUCUUAAGGUGUAGCCAAUCUGGUGUGCUUUGUGUCUUUGUGUAUGGUUCUGUCAUAAAGGCUACAUUAGGACAGAAUGCAGACCUAGGACUCUGUAAGCCCAGUGUUCAAAGCCAGCCUGGCAAACUGGUCAGUAACAAACUUUGUUGCAAGUCUCCAUCUUGUUUUAUGUCUUUGGGAGCAUGAGCUGUAACCACGUGGCAACCUGUAACCACCAUUUGGUUUUGGUCUCUGCCAUUUUAUAAUGGUGGCCUGGGUUCAAUCUUGGCAUAGAGAACGAGUACUUUCUGGUUAAUGUCUGUGUGACUUUUACCAUUUGCUGAUUCACUUUCACUCCAUGAACAACUUCCAGCUUCCUUUAUUAAAUAUUCCUUUCUCUGAGCCACCUUUAAAGAUCCUAAAUUUUGUAAAAACUGCUUAUCACCUCUUUGAAAAUACUUCCUAUACUUGCAGUUAAGCCAUAACUGUAGUUGAGGCUUCUUGUUUUCACCUGUGAGGUUACUUUGGUAAAGUUCAAAGGCCAGAAAUAUUGGCCACUUGGCAUGGCUAACGUCAAGUAAUAAGGGAUUUGAAAAGAUUUUCUUAAGGAGCACUCAGCUUAAUUAAAAAUGAAUAACUAAGCUAUAGGUAUUUUUUAAAGGCCUUUAUGUUUUUCUCUUCUUGGAACUUGUUUUUCUGUAAAAAGAAAGAACUUUUCUUGUUUUUUUCUCAAUCAACCGAACUGUUUUUCUCCAUUUUGUCUUGCCACUCUUAGUGCAUGCAUGGCAGGGCCUAAGAUAACUUCUGAUAGCCUGAGACUUUGGGAAAAAGCAGAGAAGGAGCCACAAACUCCAUUUUGGUUAAAAAAAAAAAAAAAAAAAAAAAAA